Molecule: ribosomal RNA, 588 nt
Filed under: Russula puiggarii
Lineage: Eukaryota; Fungi; Basidiomycota; Agaricomycetes; Russulales; Russulaceae
Description: eukaryotic LSU rRNA
Rfam family: Eukaryotic large subunit ribosomal RNA
Source: RNAcentral
ACAAGGAUUCCCCUAGUAACUGCGAGUGAAGCGGGAAAAGCUCAAAUUUAAAAUCUGGUGGUCUUUGGCCAUCCGAGUUGUAAUUUAGAGAAGCGUCUUCCGCGCUGGACCGUGCACAAGUCUCCUGGAAUGGAGCGUCAUAGAGGGUGAGAAUCCCGUCUUUGGCAUGGAUCCCAGGGCUUCUGUGAUGCGCUCUCGACGAGUCGAGUUGUUUGGGAAUGCAGCUCAAAAUGGGUGGUGAACUCCAUCUAAAGCUAAAUAUUGGCGAGAGACCGAUAGCGAACAAGUACCGUGAGGGAAAGAUGAAAAGCACUUUGGAAAGAGAGUGAAACAGUACGUGAAAUUGUUGAAAGGGAAACGCUUGAAGUCAGUCGCGUUGACCGAGACUCAACCUUGCUUUGGCUUGGUGUAUUUCUCGGCUGACGGGUCAGCAUCAAUUUUGACCCUCAGAUAAUGGCAAGGGAAAGGUGGCACCUUUUAGGUGUGUUAUAGUCCCAUGUCGCAUGUGAGGGUUGGGAUUGAGGAACUCAGCAUGCACCUCUGGGUGUCGGGGCUUUGGCCCACGUUACAUGCUUAGGAUGCUGGCAU